AGGGAGCUUGCUCCUGGAUUCAGCGGCGGACGGGUGAGUAAUGCCUAGGAAUCUGCCUGGUAGUGGGGGAUAACGUCCGGAAACGGGCGCUAAUACCGCAUACGUCCUGAGGGAGAAAGUGGGGGAUCUUCGGACCUCACGCUAUCAGAUGAGCCUAGGUCGGAUUAGCUAGUUGGUGGGGUAAAGGCCUACCAAGGCGACGAUCCGUAACUGGUCUGAGAGGAUGAUCAGUCACACUGGAACUGAGACACGGUCCAGACUCCUACGGGAGGCAGCAGUGGGGAAUAUUGGACAAUGGGCGAAAGCCUGAUCCAGCCAUGCCGCGUGUGUGAAGAAGGUCUUCGGAUUGUAAAGCACUUUAAGUUGGGAGGAAGGGCAGUAAGUUAAUACCUUGCUGUUUUGACGUUACCAACAGAAUAAGCACCGGCUAACUUCGUGCCAGCAGCCGCGGUAAUACGAAGGGUGCAAGCGUUAAUCGGAAUUACUGGGCGUAAAGCGCGCGUAGGUGGUUCAGCAAGUUGGAUGUGAAAUCCCCGGGCUCAACCUGGGAACUGCAUCCAAAACUACUGAGCUAGAGUACGGUAGAGGGUGGUGGAAUUUCCUGUGUAGCGGUGAAAUGC
Molecule: ribosomal RNA, 620 nt
Filed under: Pseudomonas aeruginosa
Lineage: Bacteria; Pseudomonadati; Pseudomonadota; Gammaproteobacteria; Pseudomonadales; Pseudomonadaceae
Description: bacterial SSU rRNA
Rfam family: Bacterial small subunit ribosomal RNA
Source: RNAcentral